AGAAUGAUGAUACCAUAGUAGGCUCAUAAUGGGACCCCCCAAAAAAUCCGAAAAAGUCUUGCAUGAGGCUGAAUGGAAUUUGAACAUCGUUAUCUGAUUGCCUUUCACCUUCGAUAUUAGCUGUAGGCUAAUCUAUCUGUUUUCGGAAGAAUUGGCUAGAAAAAGGAAGCACUAGAAAGGUUUUGAAGAAAUACCCCUGAUGACGUCAGACUCACAGGGAUAUAAAUUCGCUGGCUUCUCUUAGUUGAUUCAGUCUUAGCAGCCGCAGAAACGUGAUCAAGAUGACUAAAUUUGUUCAGGUCUUUAUUGGAGUCGUUAUGCUUGCAAUGCUCUUUUCGUGUCAGGUCCAUGCAGAGAAUGUGACCACAAUUGCCCCGAUGGCCAACCGAACUAGCGCAGGCACAACUUUCAAUACGACUACCAACGUCGCUAGCAUGGGCAAUAGCACUGUGAAAGGUGAUGGCUUGUCCUUGCGGUCAAGCGCUUUCACGCUACUCAUCCCAGUCAUCCUGGCAGGCUCUGUACUGCACGGUCGGUUCUAAAAACCGGAGGGACAUCAACGCUAAACGGAGACCGCCCAGACUACAUCAGCUUUAAAAGUGGACAUGCAAUACUUAAAUGGGGCGACAUUUUCCAGAUUUAAAGCCAAUCUCCGUUCCCGACUUGGUCUUAUUUGGAGGGAAAGGUGCAUGCCAAUUCCUUUAGCGACACCCAUGCUCAUCACAUUCCUUAUCACCCCAGGGCCAAGUUUUGGAACUGGGCCUUUGAAUUACGCGCCUCGCGAUGCAAGGAUAUAGCCCACUGUACACCCAAGAUCUGGCUUGUUUUUGCCUCACUGUUUUCGUCACGGGUCUUUUAGGACUAAUUUGUAAUUUAAGAAACGUAAAUAUUUGUGCCCGGGAGGCGCUUUGUGGGGACUUUCCUUAAGGUGCGCUUCUAUUUUACGCAAUGGAUCUUUGUUAAUAUGGCUACUUGAUAGGCUAGGCUACUUGUCGACUUGUGAAUAGUAAAUGUCCCUAAUCCGUGUUUUUUUUUAAUUGUGUGACAGUGACUUACACUCUGCUAGAUUUUUGUAUUCUGGUUCAAUGCUUUCUUGUGACAAAUUUCAAAUUAAUAAAUCGUGAAAUAAC
Hypomesus transpacificus is the source of this 1130-nucleotide long non-coding RNA. RefSeq lists it as uncharacterized. The transcript has 2 exons. NCBI's taxonomy places the organism in Eukaryota, Metazoa, Chordata, Actinopteri, Osmeriformes, Osmeridae. The record is from RefSeq and is a predicted model, not a curated record.